GUCAUCAAUAAUUCACACCGGCAAGUUCCAUUCACGAGUUUUGGUCCAACAUCUUUUUUUUCUGUGCUGCAGCAUGCUUCUAGUGGAAGAUGAAAACUUCACAACCAACAGUAAUAUACUUAGUUUCCCAAUCCGACCCUGGAAUCCCUUUCUUUUCAUCUAACCUGUGGUUUAUUGGUCUGCAUUCAAACGUACGAUUGCCAUCUAAUUUAGUUUUCUUGUUUCUGGGCUCACAUUUUGCAUUUCCCGUGUAACGUGUCGUUAGUAUGGAUUUAUUCUUGCUUUUCUUGUCAAAUUUAGUAGUGGUCAUGAUGUUAUCAUUUCCUGAUAGUUUACACAUUG
Molecule: non-coding RNA, 342 nt
Organism: Paramuricea clavata
Lineage: Eukaryota; Metazoa; Cnidaria; Anthozoa; Malacalcyonacea; Plexauridae
Source: the annotation of a GenBank genome assembly